This is an RNA transcript of Capsicum annuum, 1804 nucleotides long. It is a transcript of the gene named tRNA-uridine aminocarboxypropyltransferase 2, with no coding region annotated. The transcript is spliced from 3 exons. The record is from RefSeq and is a predicted model, not a curated record. NCBI's taxonomy places the organism in Eukaryota, Viridiplantae, Streptophyta, Magnoliopsida, Solanales, Solanaceae.
CCAUCACAUAAUUAACCCAUUUCUAUGGCACAAAAUAUUUGAAUCCGCUCUACGGUCUAAACCCGCAUUGCCAUAAACCCACCCCGCUCUGCCCUGAUGGACCCUGAUCGCCAAUCGGGAAACUCUACCGCCGUCACCUCCAUCGCAGGUGAAUGUUCCGAUGGCCGGAAAAUUUGCUCUAAUUGUGACCGGCCAGUAAAAGUGUGUUUAUGCAGCAUAAUCCCAUCGGAGCCGAUAUCCACCGUUACUCGAAUUGUAAUUCUUCACCAUCCUCAUGAACAACGGCAUAAGCUCGCUACGGUCCCUGUUCUAUCUAAAUGCCUUCGUAAUUGCGAUGUUAUUGUUGGCCGGAGAUUACAUUAUGGUGAUUCCGACGUUCUCGAUUUUCUCCAUGAUGAUGCUAUGAGAAACCCUAAUUUUAACAGCAGAGCUAUUUAUCUAUUUCCUGGUGCUGAUCCAUCACCAUCUCAGGAAAUCAGCCAUUGGAAGUCUUCUAAAAAUAUUGUAGAGACGAGUAAUUAUGUCUUGAUUGCUUUUGAUGGAACUUGGAAGCAUGCUCGAGAGAUGAUGCAUGCAAGCUUAUCAUUUUUAUCCAAGUUUGCUGUUCAGGUUCACUUAGACUAUGAUGUUGGCAAUGAUGGCGGGACAAUAUACAAUUCUGAUUUAAUUCUUAGAAAGGAGCCGUUUAGUGGGUGCAUGAGUACCAUGGAGGCAGUAGCGCAUUGCUUACGGAUUCUCGAGCCUAAUGGGAUUGAUAGAGAGUCAAGUUUGAUAGAGGUUUUAAGAAGUAUGGUUAAAUUUCAGGCUUCUUUCCUCAAGCCUAUGAAGCCUAGGCCCAAGUUGAUAAAAGGAGGACGAGAGGGAAAAAUAUAAUUGCUCUCUUCCAUUUUCUGUCUGUUUUUAAGCAACAUUUAGCACAAGGAUAGCCUUAAAGCACUUUUGGUUAUCACGUACCUGACUUCUCAAAGCCAUCAGCCUGUACAUGGUACUUAACCAAAUUUCGCAGAUGCUGCUUCGAUCGGUUGGAGUAUAUGGCAGUAACCUGCUUAUGCUGAAGCAAGUGAAGCCAGAGGCUGAACCAUGCAUGUUCAAGAUUGUCAAACGUUGAGCUCUUCACUGUAUCUCGAAGUAAUAUGAAAUGAAUGAUUGUCAUUCGCCAUUUGAUGUCAUUCGUCAUUUUUAUCAGUUUUAUAGAGAUUGCCGUAAAAUAUUUGGCAACUGAAAUUCUUUUGGAAGUUUUCAUGAUCAGUAUAUGAUAGCUACAUACGGAACCUUGCCUGGUCUUGAAGGGGUUAAAUAAUUUUGUAGUACCGCGUGAUUAUGCAGCAGGUGGCUCUAAUGCUGCUUUGCUCAGAUUUCAAUGGCAUAUAUUUCAGGUCAAAUUUCAGUAUUAUAGUCGCUUGGGAAAUCUGAAUAUGUGGCUUGGAUUCCUUUGAUAAGCACAUGGAUGCAGGCUAAAGAACUUACAAGACAUGUGGGUGUGACUUAGUGGUUCAAUGAAGUUGGGCUAAGCAUCAGAGACUUUCAAUUCCCUAACAGAGACGAGACAAAUUGCUGUCCGACUCUUUGAUUGUUCUUACUUUAUUUGCUCCAAAUUGGACAUAGAGGAUGUAGAAGAAGAUUAAUGAGAUUGUUGUCUUCGCAUGAACUUUAAAGUUGUUUUUUUGGGUGGUGGUUGGAACAUCUUAAAAAUUACAUCACUUGCUCUAGCAAAGUUGCUCUAAAUAAUUAUUAUAUCAGGAUUUUUUGUGUUGAUGAGCAAACCGCUCAUUAAUCCAAACAGCUUCAAUUUUCUUGGGAUCCA